Transfer RNA from Ovis aries (sheep), 72 nucleotides. It matches the Rfam family "tRNA". From Rfam's summary of the family: Transfer RNA (tRNA) molecules are approximately 80 nucleotides in length. Their secondary structure includes four short double-helical elements and three loops (D, anti-codon, and T loops). The record is from Rfam. NCBI's taxonomy places the organism in Eukaryota, Metazoa, Chordata, Mammalia, Artiodactyla, Bovidae.
UCCCUGGUGGCUCAGAUGGUAGAGAAUCUGCCUGCAGUGCAGAAGGCCUGGGUUCAAUUCCUGGGUUGGGAA